CAAUAGCAUAUAUUAACGUUGUUGCAGUUGAAAAGCUCGUAGUUGAACUUUUGGUAGGAGCGACCUGGCCUUGGGCGCAUGCCCUUGUUUGCCGUGUGUCGUAUCUGGCCAUCCUUUUCUUCUUUUUGGAAGGAAUCCUUUACUGUGAGUAAACUGGAGUGCUCAAAACAAGACGUUUGUUUGGUACAUUAAAGCAUGGAAUAAUAAGAUAGGACCUGGUUACUAUUUUGUUGGUUUGCAUAGCUAGGUAAUGAUUAACAGGGACAGUUGGGGGUAUUCGUAUUUAAUUGUCAGAGGUGAAAUUCUUGGAUUUAUGAAAGACGAACGACUGCGAAAGCAUUUACCAAGGAUGUUUUCAUUA
This 361-nucleotide ribosomal RNA is filed under the name uncultured eukaryote. RNAcentral describes it as "partial 18S ribosomal RNA". It matches the Rfam family "Eukaryotic small subunit ribosomal RNA", at positions 592 to 975 of the family's 1831-position model. The record is from RNAcentral.